AUAUAAAGAGUUUCCCCUGCCUGCCCCUACUAUCAAUUGAUAAUACAUAAAUGAUCCGGGGCUAGUGUUGGGUAGCCGGGCCCACUAGAAUUCAAGUGCUUCUUAUCGAUUCAAUACGCCCUUAACGGAUCCCCGUGCUUUAUCUCCAUUGGGUGGAGCAAGACCCUUGUCCUAUCUUUUCUUUACAGAGCAAUAGAAAUGAUGGUUGCCCCUCGCUGCACUGACCAAUGAUAUCUCAGAAGAGAGAAAGACUUCUAUAACUUGCCAAUGAUAUCUAGUGGGCACUACGAACUCCAGGCAUACUGUACUUGACCACCCUACUUUGCUUUGUCCCUAUUAGGCGAAAUCAAUACUUACUUUCAAUUGGUAGAGAGGAAGAAGAGAACUGACACUAGUAAUAGGUUGAUGACUUCUCUUAACAGAACUGACACUAGUAAUAGGUUGAUGACUUCUCUGACUUAAUAGCUGGCCGACUUCUCUUCAUGGAUCACCGUUCUAUAUAGUUAGGCGCAGCAUCGCGUUUAACCACCUAUCCCUAUUCCCUCAAUCGAUACCGUCCAACUAUCCUUUUAUUGGGACAGCAGCAUACUUCUCGUUAGGGACAAUAGUUCCUAUACUUAACUAACCUCUGUGCGCAAUCACUGUUUGACACAUCAUUCUUUCAGCUUUUCGUUCUUGACGACUCUGUUUGACGGAGCCUGACCUUGAACUAGCUUUUUGCAACACAAACCACUAUCUUUACUUUCCUUUAGCAAUAGUAUCUAACUAUCAAUUCAUAAGAGUCAAACGGGUGGGUCCAUCCCAUCUAUCGACAGGUCCUGAUACCGGAU
This 830-nucleotide long non-coding RNA is filed under the name Hordeum vulgare. RNAcentral describes it as "long non-coding RNA (HVUL_LNC014463)". The record is from RNAcentral. Lineage: Eukaryota; Viridiplantae; Streptophyta; Magnoliopsida; Poales; Poaceae.